Molecule: non-coding RNA, 21 nt
Filed under: Rattus norvegicus (Norway rat)
Lineage: Eukaryota; Metazoa; Chordata; Mammalia; Rodentia; Muridae
Source: RNAcentral
UAUUGCUCUGUCUGCACAAGU